GUAAGCGUGCGCAGGCGGUUUUGUAAGACUGUCGUGAAAUCCCCGGGCUCAACCUGGGAAUGGCGAUGGUGACUGCAAGGCAGAGUUUGGCAGAGGGGGGUAGAAUUCCACGUGUAGCAGUGAAAUGCGUAGAUAUGUGGAGGAACACCGAUGGCGAAGGCAAUCCCCUGGGCCUGUACUGACGCUCAUGCACGAAAGCGUGGGGAGCAAACAGGAUUAGAUACCCUUGU
This 230-nucleotide ribosomal RNA is filed under the name uncultured bacterium. Its description in RNAcentral is "partial 16S ribosomal RNA". It matches the Rfam family "Bacterial small subunit ribosomal RNA", at positions 563 to 791 of the family's 1533-position model. The record is from RNAcentral.